AGUGAACGCUGGCGGCGUGCCUAAUACAUGCAAGUCGAGCGAACACACGAUAAGCUUUCUCCUCUGACGUUAGCGACUGACGGGUGGGUGACACGUGGAUAACCUACCUAUAAGACUUGGGUAACUUCGUGGAACCGGUGCUACUACUGUCUAAUAUAUUGUACCGCAUGGUUCAAUAGUUAAAGACGGUUUUGGUGUCACUCAGAGAUGGAUCCGCGGCGCCUUGGCUAUGUGGUAAGGUAACGGCUUACCAAGGCAACGAUGCUUAUCCGGCCUGAUAGAGUGACACGCCACACUGGAACUGAGACACGGUCCAGACUCCUACGGGAGGCAGCAGUAGGGAAUAUUGCACAAUGGGCGGAAGCUUGACGGAGCAACGCCGCGUGAGUGAAGAAGGUCUUCGGAUCGUAAAACUCUGUUAUUAGGGAAGAAAAGAUGUGUAAGUAACUACGCACGUUCUGACGGUACCUAAACAGAAAGCACCGGCUAACUACGUG
RNAcentral lists this ribosomal RNA (497 nucleotides) under uncultured bacterium. RNAcentral's name for it is "partial 16S ribosomal RNA". It matches the Rfam family "Bacterial small subunit ribosomal RNA", at positions 29 to 507 of the family's 1533-position model. The record is from RNAcentral.